CAGGGAUUGCCCCAGUAACGGCGAGUGAAGAGGCAAAAGCUCAAAUUUGAAAUCUGGCCACCCUUCUGGGGCGGUCCGAGUUGUAAUUUGCAGAGGAUGCUUUUGGCGAGACACCUUCCGAGUUCCCUGAAGACGGGACGCCACAGAGGGUGAGAGCCCCGUGCGGUCUGGUGUCGAGCCUCUGUAAAGCUCCCUCGAAGAGUCGAGUAGUUUGGGAAUGCUGCUCUAAGCGGGAGGUAAACUCCUUCUAAAGCUAAAUAUCAGCCGGAGACCGAUAGCGCACAAGUAGAGUGAUCGAAAGAUGAAAAGCACUUUGAAAAGAGAGUGAAACAGUACGUGAAAUUGUUGAAAGGGAAGCGUUCGUGGCCAGAACCGGGCCCCGCUGGUUUACCCGCCCCUACGGGACGGCGCACUCCGGCGGGCCCGGGCCAGCAUCGGUUUCGGGCGGGGGAUAAUUACGGGGGGAAAGUAGCUCCCUGGAGUGUUAUAGCCCGCCGUAGCAUGCCCCGCCGGGGACCGAGGUUCUCGCCCAGGCAAGGAUGCUGGCGUAAUGGCCACCAGCGACCCGUCUUGAAACACGGACCAAGGAGUCAUCCUCAUAUGCGAGUGUUCGGGUGCUAAAACCCCUGUAACGCGAAAUAAAAGUGAACGUAGGUGGGAGCCCCUCGCGGGGCGCACCACCGACCGAUCCUGAUGUUCCACGGAUGGAUUUGAGUACGAGCAUAUGGGGUUGGACCCGAAAGAAGAUGAACUAUGCUUGGAUAGGGUGAAGCCAGAGGAAACUCUGGUGGAAGCCCGUAGCGGUUCUGACGUGCAAAUCGAUCGUCAAAUCUGAGUAUGGGGGCGAAAGACUAAUCGAAUCUUCUAGUAGCUGGUUUCCGCCGAAGUUUCCCUCAGGAUAGCAGUGUUGGAGCUUCAGUUUUAUGAGGUAAAGCGAAUGAUUAGGGACUCGGGGGGCUUAAAUUUAACCUUCAUCCAUUCUCAAACUUUAAAUAUGUAAGAAGCCCCCGUUGCUUGGGUGAACGGGGGCGUUAUUAGAA
Molecule: ribosomal RNA, 1040 nt
Filed under: Moana turbinulata
Lineage: Eukaryota; Fungi; Ascomycota; Sordariomycetes; Microascales; Halosphaeriaceae
Description: eukaryotic LSU rRNA
Rfam family: Eukaryotic large subunit ribosomal RNA
Source: RNAcentral